Molecule: ribosomal RNA, 442 nt
Filed under: uncultured bacterium
Lineage: Bacteria
Description: partial 16S ribosomal RNA
Rfam family: Bacterial small subunit ribosomal RNA
Source: RNAcentral
CCUACGGGUGGCAGCAGUGGGGAAUAUUCGGCAAUGGGCGCAAGCCUGACCCAGCAACGCCGCGUGAAGGAAGAAGGCUUUCGGGUUGUAAAAUUCUGUUAAGAGAGAAGAGCAGAAGACGGUACCUCUUGAAUAAGCCACGGCUAACGACAUGCCAGCAGCCGCGGUAAUACGUAGGUGGCAGGCGUUGUCCGGAUUUACUGGGUGUAAAGGGCGUGCAGCCGGGAAGACAAGUCGGAUGUGAAAUCCCGCGGCUCAACCGCGGAACUGCAUUUGAAACUGUUUGUCUUGAGUACCGGAGAGGACAGCGGAAUUCCAUGUGUAGCGGUGAAAUGCGUAGAUAUAAGGAAGAACACCAGUGGCGAAGGCGGAUGACUGGACGGCAACUGACGGUGAGGCGCGAAAGCGUGGGGAGCAAACAGGAUUAGAUACCCGUGUAGUC